Mytilus californianus (California mussel) is the source of this 552-nucleotide long non-coding RNA. RefSeq lists it as uncharacterized. The transcript is spliced from 3 exons. Lineage: Eukaryota; Metazoa; Mollusca; Bivalvia; Mytilida; Mytilidae. The record is from RefSeq and is a predicted model, not a curated record.
GAAAAGAAGUUCGAGGUGACAGUUCAGAAGGUCGAAGAAUAGAAACAACAAGCUAGGAGGUCGUAGAACAGAAUCAACUAGUCAGGAGGUCGCAGAACAAAAACAACAAGUCAGGGGGUCGUAGAACAAAAACAACAAGUCAGGAGGUCACAGAACAAAAACAACAAGUCAGGAGGUCGUAGAACAAAAACAACAAACUAGGAGGUCGCAGAACAGAAAUAACAAGUCAGGAGGUCACAGAACAAAAAGAAAAAGUCAGGAGGUCGCAGAACAGAAACAAAAAGCUAGGAGGUCGCAGAACAGAAACAACAAGUCAGGAGGUCGCAGAACAGAAACAACAAGUCAGGAGGUCGCAGAACAGAAACAACAAGUCAGGAGGUCGCAGAACAGAAACAACAAGUCAGGAGGUCGCAGAACAGAAACAACAAGUCAGGAGGUCUCAGAACAGAAACAACAAGUCAGGAGGUCGCAGAACAAAAACAACAAUCUUGCUUCAACAGUGCAGAAAAUAAAUAAUCUGUCCUCUUAGUUUACAAAAAUAAAUGACCGAUC